UGGGGAAUAUUGGACAAUGGGCGAAAGCCUGAUCCAGCAAUGCCGCGUGAGUGAUGAAGGCCUUAGGGUCGUAAAGCUCUUUUACCCGGGAUGAUAAUGACAGUACCGGGAGAAUAAGCUCCGGCUAACUCCGUGCCAGCAGCCGCGGUAAUACGGAGGGAGCUAGCGUUGUUCGGAAUUACUGGGCGUAAAGCGCGCGUAGGCGGCGAAUCAAGUCAGGGGUGAAAUCCCGGGGCUCAACCCCGGAACUGCCCUUGAAACUAGCUCGCUAGAAUCUUGGAGAGGUCAGUGGAAUUCCGAGUGUAGAGGUGAAAUUCGUAGAUAUUCGGAAGAACACCAGUGGCGAAGGCGACUGACUGGACAAGUAUUGACGCUGAGGCGCGAAAGCGUGGGGAGCAAA
RNAcentral lists this ribosomal RNA (400 nucleotides) under uncultured bacterium. Its description in RNAcentral is "bacterial SSU rRNA". It matches the Rfam family "Bacterial small subunit ribosomal RNA", at positions 355 to 772 of the family's 1533-position model. The record is from RNAcentral.